UGACUGACUAGUAGAUAAAAAAGGGUGUACACAGAGCUAAUAAAAAAAGUUCUAAAUCAUUCCUUUCUUAAGAAGCUAAGUAAUUCAAAACUUUAGAAUAAGUUUUAAAAAAAAAGCUUAGUGGGUUAUUUAUUAUUCAAAGUAUUGUUUAACAGGGUUAGACUACCAGAAAAAGAAAGGAAAACCACUUACAUACUUUCUGUUCAACUCCAGAUCACAAAGUUCCAGACAAAUAGCAAAUCAUUCCUUAUUAAAAGGC
RNAcentral lists this long non-coding RNA (259 nucleotides) under Mytilus galloprovincialis (Mediterranean mussel). Lineage: Eukaryota; Metazoa; Mollusca; Bivalvia; Mytilida; Mytilidae. The record is from RNAcentral.